AUUGAACGCUGGCGGCAUGCUUUACACAUGCAAGUCGAACGGUAACAGGCCGCAAGGUGCUGACGAGUGGCGAACGGGUGAGUAAUGCAUCGGAACGCGCCCAGUCGUGGGGGAUAACUAUCCGAAAGGAUAGCUAAUACCGCAUACGAUCUGCGGAUGAAAGCGGGGGACCUUCGGGCCUCGCGCGAUUGGAGCGGCCGAUGUCAGAUUAGGUAGUUGGUGGGGUAAAGGCUCACCAAGCCAACGAUCUGUAGCUGGUCUGAGAGGACGACCAGCCACACUGGGACUGAGACACGGCCCAGGCUCCUACGGGAGGCAGCAGUGGGGAAUUUUGGACAAUGGGCGCAAGCCUGAUCCAGCAAUGCCGCGUGCAGGAAGAAGGCCUUCGGGUUGUAAACUGCUUUUGUACGGAACGAAACGGCUCUGGUUAAUACCUGGGGCUAAUGACGGUACCGUAAGAAUAAGCACCGGCUAAUUACGUGCCAGCCGCCGCAGUAA
RNAcentral lists this ribosomal RNA (498 nucleotides) under uncultured bacterium. Its description in RNAcentral is "partial 16S ribosomal RNA". It matches the Rfam family "Bacterial small subunit ribosomal RNA", at positions 30 to 523 of the family's 1533-position model. The record is from RNAcentral.